Molecule: ribosomal RNA, 410 nt
Filed under: uncultured microorganism
Description: bacterial SSU rRNA
Rfam family: Archaeal small subunit ribosomal RNA
Source: RNAcentral
GCGCUGCAGUCGCGAAACUUUACAAUGUGCGAAAGCACGAUAAGGGAACUCUGAGUGCCUCCUAAGGAGGCUGUUCAGGUGUCUAAAAAGCACCUGGAGUAAGGGCUGGGUAAGACCGGUGCCAGCCGCCGCGGUAACACCGGCAGCCCAGGUGGUAGCCACUUUUAUUGGGUCUAAAGCGUCCGUAGCCGGUUGAGUAAGUUCCUUGGGAAAUUUGGCUGCUCAACAGUCAAGCUUCCAGGGAAUACUGCUCGACUUGGGGACUGGGAGAGGUCAGAGGUACUCCAGGGGUAGGGGUGAAAUCCAUUAAUCCCUGGGGGACCACCGGUAGCGAAGGCGUCCAGCCAGAACGGGUCUGACGGUGAGGGACGAAACCCAGGGGAGCGAGCCGGAUUAGAUACCCCUGUAGU